CGGCGAGUGAAGCGGGAAGAGCUCAAAUUUGAAAUCUGGCAGUCUUCGAUUGUCCGAGUUGUAAUCUAUAGAGGCGUUUUCCGUGCCGGACCGUGUCCAAGUCUCCUGGAAAGGAGUAUCAAAGAGGGUGAUAAUCCCGUACUUAACACGACCACCGGUGCUCUGUGAUACGUCUUCUACGAGUCGAGUUGUUUGGGAAUGCAGCUCAAAAUGGGUGGUGAAUUCCAUCUAAAGCUAAAUAUUGGCGAGAGACCGAUAGCGAACAAGUACCGUGAGGGAAAGAUGAAAAGCACUUUGGAAAGAGAGUUAAACAGUACGUGAAAUUGUUGAAAGGGAAACGAUUGAAGUCAGUCGUGUUCUUUGGAUUCAGCCAGUUCUGCUGGUCUACUUCCUUGGAACGGGUCAACAUCAGUUUUGUCCGGUGGAUAAAGGUAGUAGGAAUGUGACUUCUCCGGAAGUGUUAUAGCCUAUUAUCACAUACACUGGGUGAGACUGAGGACUGCAGCUCGCCUUUAUGGCCGGCCUUCGGGCACGUUCGAGCUUAGGAUGUUGACAUAAUGGCUUUAAAC
RNAcentral lists this ribosomal RNA (569 nucleotides) under Trichosporon asahii. RNAcentral describes it as "eukaryotic LSU rRNA". It matches the Rfam family "Eukaryotic large subunit ribosomal RNA", at positions 87 to 645 of the family's 3401-position model. Lineage: Eukaryota; Fungi; Basidiomycota; Tremellomycetes; Trichosporonales; Trichosporonaceae. The record is from RNAcentral.